AUUGGAUACACCAUUUCUAUACCAACCUCCAUCACAGGCUAACUUCAACCAAUCAUAUCACAUCUCCUGCCGAGGCCAGCGAGUACAAGAAAGACAAUUCUCAAGUUCUGAUUGACCUGAUAGUAUUGCAGCAUCAAUGCUCACCUCUGUACGACUUUCCACGUAACUACUCACAGGACACAGAUUUCCUAAACACUUGUGGUUGACAAGCCUGACAAGAUGGAUUUUUGUGUGGUCUUGUGAUCCCGCUAGAAUACGUCUGCUGUGGAAGGAACAAUGCAGACAAGCAGAAGUGAUUGUGUUCUGUGUCAACAUGACGUGACUGCAGCCCGAUGUUUGUGGCAAUAGAUGGGCCGUGCUGCCAUGGGAAAUCAAUUCCUUGGGUGUCAACACAGGAGAAUGAGAGCGGCCAUUGUGAGGUUCAGCCCUCGUUGUCUCCAAAGUUGGCAGCUGGGGGCUUAUGCUCAACUCCUCAGUUCAAACGUGACUCAAACCCACAGCCGUGGUGCAAGGAGAAUCCAAAAUGACGAGGACACUCAGCCUGUGAUUAGGGAGGUGUGCAGUCAGGGGAAUCCAUAAACAUAUCCGCGCAGACAUAACACUCAUCCGUACUCACACGCGUUCACACAGGAACACGCAUAUGUGUCAAAAUACCAGCGUGUACGCACGCUGUUUCACCGCUGAUGUCGACUCAUGGACAUUAACAAAGCGCGACAGUCAACAAAACAGCAAACACAGAAAGAGCUUUUUUUCCACAAGCCCGUGGUCACAUGCCCUCUCAAGAAAACUGCUGGAGAUACCCAACAAUAACAGAAAAAUACUGAAUUUUCUCUGUCUGUGACAAAUGAACAAUUUAUUAACUGUUUAAACAAUGCUGUAAAAACACAUUUAUGUUGGAUUGACUCUCCUGGUUUGUCUCGAUUUAUUGACGUCAUGAACACAGAAGAGCUACAUCAGGCACCAGAGCAUCUAGUUUUUCUACUGUGUGACAUAUUUCAUUAUUUGUAUAUUUGCUGC
Long non-coding RNA from Gasterosteus aculeatus aculeatus (three-spined stickleback), 1017 nucleotides. NCBI's taxonomy places the organism in Eukaryota, Metazoa, Chordata, Actinopteri, Perciformes, Gasterosteidae. The record is from Ensembl.